This is a long non-coding RNA of Lynx canadensis (Canada lynx), 704 nucleotides long. RefSeq lists it as uncharacterized. The record is from RefSeq and is a predicted model, not a curated record. Lineage: Eukaryota; Metazoa; Chordata; Mammalia; Carnivora; Felidae. The transcript is spliced from 3 exons.
UUACGAGGUCUUUGGCACAGAGGCUUCCAUAGAUGCUGCACAUUGUCAUUACUAGCCCAGCAAAGCGCCGGAGAGGACAAGCCCAGGACGGAAUCCACAACUGAGACGAACCCUCCACUUUCCCAGAGACGCCUUCUAACCCUGUUGGCCACCCGCCACCCCCCGAAGUCCACGUUUGCCAGGGCUUAUCCCCGAGUGACGACCUACCUCCCCCCAUCGUGCCUCAAACCAUCAGACUGUUUCUCAGCUGCCCUCUUGCUCUCAUGGGAACUCGGCUCUGCUCCGAACAGAGUCCUCGAAGGGACGGUGGUCUCUCCCGCGUGGCUCGCAUCCUGAGGCCAGUGGAUGACGCACCAGACCAAUCACGAGCACAGGACUUAGAGUCUGACAGGCCCGAGUUCAAGUCCCGGCUUGAGCGGUCCCAGCUGUGUGGUCUUAGGCAAGUUACUCAGCUUCUCUGAGCCAGGUAGACUCAUUCUGCAAACAUGUGCCGAGUGCCUACUUUACAACGGGGUCACCUUGCUACGCCUGUCCUAAGGAUUAUAUAAGUGAAAAGGUGUGUUCUCCAUUUAUAAGAUACAAAGGUCAAGUAUUUGAACACAAGCCCCAGGAUGGAUAAUUUAUGACUGACCACUGCUGUAUUCCUGGCAUCCAGCAACUGGCCUGAUGUACAUCAUACAGGUUCAAUAAAUAUUUGUUGAAUG